GACGAACGCUGGCGGCGUGCUUAACACAUGCAAGUCGAACGGAAAGGCCCUGCUUUUGUGGGGUGCUCGAGUGGCGAACGGGUGAGUAACACGUGAGUAACCUGCCCUUGACUUUGGGAUAACUUCAGGAAACUGGGGCUAAUACCGGAUAGGAGCUCCUGCUGCAUGGUGGGGGUUGGAAAGUUUCGGCGGUUGGGGAUGGACUCGCGGCUUAUCAGCUUGUUGGUGGGGUAGUGGCUUACCAAGGCUUUGACGGGUAGCCGGCCUGAGAGGGUGACCGGCCACAUUGGGAUUGAGAUACGGCCCGGACUCCUACGGGAGGCAGCAGUGGGGAAUAUUGCACAAUGGGCGGAAGCCUGAUGCAGCAACGCCGCGUGCGGGAUGACGGCCUUCGGGUUGUAAACCGCUUUCGCCUGUGACGAAGCGUGAGUGACGGUAAUGGGUAAAGAAGCACCGGCUAACUACGUG
RNAcentral lists this ribosomal RNA (468 nucleotides) under uncultured bacterium. RNAcentral describes it as "partial 16S ribosomal RNA". It matches the Rfam family "Bacterial small subunit ribosomal RNA", at positions 28 to 507 of the family's 1533-position model. The record is from RNAcentral.